CCUACGGUGAGCAGCAGUGAGGAAUAUUGGUCAAUGGACGCAAGUCUGAACCAGCCAUGCCGCGUGCAGGAAGACGGCUCUAUGAGUUGUAAACUGCUUUUGUACGAGGGUAAACGCAGAUACGCGUAUCUGUCUGAAAGUAUCGUACGAAUAAGGAUCGGCUAACUCCGUGCCAGCAGCCGCGGUAAUACGGAGGAUUAAAGCGUUAUCCGGAUUUAUUGGGUUUAAAGGGUGCGUAGGCGGUCUGAUAAGUUAGAGGUGAAAUCCCGAGGCUCAACUUCGGAAUUGCCUCUGAUACUGUUCGGCUAGAGAGUAGUUGCGGUAGGCGGAAUGUAUGGUGUAGCGGUGAAAUGCUUAGAGAUCAUACAGAACACCGAUUGCGAAGGCAGCUUACCAAGCUACUUCUGACGUUGAGGCACGAAAGCGUGGGGAGCAAACAGGAUUAGAUACCAGGGUAGUC
RNAcentral lists this ribosomal RNA (460 nucleotides) under uncultured bacterium. RNAcentral describes it as "partial 16S ribosomal RNA". It matches the Rfam family "Bacterial small subunit ribosomal RNA", at positions 338 to 795 of the family's 1533-position model. The record is from RNAcentral.